CAAUUGCUUAUAACCUUUUGGUUAUAAAUAAUUGUUAGUGGCAGACGGGUGAGUAAUGCGUAGGAAUCUACCUAGUAGUAUGGAAUAGCCAUUAGAAAUGAUGGGUAAUACUGUAUAAUCCCUGCGGGGGAAAGAUUUAUCGCUAUUAGAUGAGCCUACGUUAGAUUAGCUAGUUGGUAAGGUAAUGGCUUACCAAGGCUAUGAUCUAUAGCUGGUCUGAGAGGACGAUCAGCCACACUGGAACUGAGAUACGGUCCAGACUCCUACGGGAGGCAGCAGUGGGGAAUAUUGGACAAUGGGCGAAAGCCUGAUCCAGCUAUGCCGCGUGAGUGAAGAAGGCCUUCGGGUUGUAAAACUCUUUCAAUAGGGAAGAUAAUGACGGUACCUAUAGAAGAAGUCCCGGCAAA
This 407-nucleotide ribosomal RNA is filed under the name uncultured Ehrlichia sp. RNAcentral describes it as "bacterial SSU rRNA". It matches the Rfam family "Bacterial small subunit ribosomal RNA", at positions 64 to 500 of the family's 1533-position model. Lineage: Bacteria; Pseudomonadati; Pseudomonadota; Alphaproteobacteria; Rickettsiales; Anaplasmataceae. The record is from RNAcentral.